AUUGAACGCUGGCGCAAUGCUUUACACAUGCAAGUCGAACGGCAGCACGGGGGCAGCCCUGGUGGCGAGUGGCGAACGGGUGAGUAAUACAUCGGAACGUGCCCGGUCGUGGGGGAUAACGUAGCGAAAGUUACGCUAAUACCGCAUACGAUCUGAGGAUGAAAGCGGGGGACCUUCGGGCCUCGCGCGAUCGGAGCGGCCGAUGUCAGAUUAGGUAGUUGGUGGGGUAAAGGCCUACCAAGCCGACGAUCUGUAGCUGGUCUGAGAGGACGACCAGCCACACUGGGACUGAGACACGGCCCAGACUCCUACGGGAGGCAGCAGUGGGGAAUUUUGGACAAUGGGCGCAAGCCUGAUCCAGCCAUUCCGCGUGCAGGACGAAGGCCUUCGGGUUGUAAACUGCUUUUGUACGGAACGAAAAGGCUCUGGCUAAUACCUGGGGCUCAUGACGGUACCGUAAGAAUAAGCACCGGCUAACUACGUG
RNAcentral lists this ribosomal RNA (484 nucleotides) under uncultured bacterium. Its description in RNAcentral is "partial 16S ribosomal RNA". It matches the Rfam family "Bacterial small subunit ribosomal RNA", at positions 30 to 507 of the family's 1533-position model. The record is from RNAcentral.